Camarhynchus parvulus is the source of this 1045-nucleotide long non-coding RNA. RefSeq lists it as uncharacterized. Lineage: Eukaryota; Metazoa; Chordata; Aves; Passeriformes; Thraupidae. The record is from RefSeq and is a predicted model, not a curated record. The transcript has 3 exons.
GCUCGGCUGUGCCGGUGCUGCGGGCCCGGUGGGGUUCGGCUCGGCCCGGCCGCUGCGGGAGAGGCAGCACAACCGCCCAGUCCCCCGGCUGAAAGGCAGCGCCGCUCCUGCUGUGUCGCGGGGGAGCGGUGGCCUGAGGCGCUGCUGCCUGUGAGGCUCACACGGCGUUCCCCCCGUUCUGCGCGUGCGCCCUGAGCGCCGCCGAACGGCCCCGGUUCCCCCGGCGCCGCCGUGCCGCGGUGCCCUCAGGGCUGGGGGGCUUCUCCCCACCUCCCUGCGCCCCCAUGGCCUUGGGCACCCAUUUCCUAUGGGCUCUCUGUCUGUGGUGGGGCUCCCUUCUCCCUCGGAGCUUCCCUAUCCCCUGUGCCCCUCACCGAGCUCUCCCAGCGGGGCUUCUCUUCUACCACAGACUUCCUGUGGGACGCCCCUCACCCCCAUUUUUAUCCGUUAUUUUAGUGCCAGAGGUGCAGCAGGUCACAUCCCACCCUGUCCGAGGUUCUUUCUAGGCUAACGGACACGUGGGGACACAAACGGACACGUGGGGGGACAAACGGACACGUUCCCCAUCGUAAUCCCAGAGCAGGCGCAGCCCCCGCUGCCGGUGGAUCCUCCCUUUGCCGGGCAGACACCAUCCGGACCGUGGCUUUUCCAGUCUCAGCAAAUCUGCAAUUCUAUAAUUCUGCUGCUGUGGUACAACCAGUGAGCAACUAUCACAUGCAGGACCAUCAUCUGGGGGUGCCCAGACCCUCUUCUACCCGAGUGCUUUGCUCCAGGCUCAGUGAUGUGAUUCAUCUUGGCUGCUGUGGAGAUGGAAUGGGAAGGUUCCAACACUGCUUGGUGUGACAUAGCUGCUCAUGAAAUCCUGUGCUGCUGGCAUUGUUGGGCCAUGUAUCCUUUAGAAUUGCAACACCCUAAACCUGACAAACAGGCACUUCAUCCACACAAGCUCGUUCUCCUUUCUCCUUCUUUAUGGAAAAUUGGCAGACUCCCAACCUGUUUCCAUAGGAACGGGCUGGGAGAGCAGGAGACCUCCAGCUGCUGAAGU